AACGCGAAGAACCUUACCUGGGUUUGACAUGCGCAGGACGCCAGUAGAGAUAUUGGUUCCCUUGUGGCCUGUGUGCAGGUGGUGCAUGGCUGUCGUCAGCUCGUGUCGUGAGAUGUUGGGUUAAGUCCCGCAACGAGCGCAACCCUUGUCUCAUGUUGCCAGCGCGUUAUGGCGGGGACUCGUGAGAGACUGCCGGGGUCAACUCGGAGGAAGGUGGGGAUGACGUCAAGUCAUCAUGCCCCUUAUGUCCAGGGCUUCACACAUGCUACAAUGGCCGGUACAAAGGGCUGCGAUGCCGUGAGGUUAAGCGAAUCCUUUAAAGCCGGUCUCAGUUCGGAUCGGGGUCUGCAACUCGACCCCGUGAAGUCGGAGUCGCUAGUAAUCGCAGAUCAGCAACGCUGCGGUGAAUACGUUCCCGGGCCUUGUACACACCGCGCAUA
RNAcentral lists this ribosomal RNA (440 nucleotides) under uncultured bacterium. RNAcentral's name for it is "bacterial SSU rRNA". It matches the Rfam family "Bacterial small subunit ribosomal RNA", at positions 958 to 1398 of the family's 1533-position model. The record is from RNAcentral.